UCAAUGUUCUCUACAGUUUUUAUGGUCAUG
This 30-nucleotide non-coding RNA is filed under the name Mus musculus (house mouse). The record is from RNAcentral. Lineage: Eukaryota; Metazoa; Chordata; Mammalia; Rodentia; Muridae.